UGGGGAAUAUUGCACAAUGGGCGCAAGCCUGAUGCAGCCAUGCCGCGUGUGUGAAGAAGGCCUUCGGGUUAUAAAGCACUUUCAGCGGGGAGGAAGGCGUUAAGGUUAAUAACCUUGGCGAUUGACGUUACCCGCAGAAGAAGCACCGGCUAACUCCGUGCCAGCAGCCGCGGUAAUACGGAGGGUGCAAGCGUUAAUCGGAAUUACUGGGCGUAAAGCGCACGCAGGCGGUCUGUCAAGUCGGAUGUGAAAUCCCCGGGCUCAACCUGGGAACUGCAUUCGAAACUGGCAGGCUAGAGUCUUGUAGAGGGGGGUAGAAUUCCAGGUGUAGCGGUGAAAUGCGUAGAGAUCUGGAGGAAUACCGGUGGCGAAGGCGGCCCCCUGGACAAAGACUGACGCUCAGGUGCGAAAGCGUGGGGAGCAAACAGG
This 429-nucleotide ribosomal RNA is filed under the name Chloroflexota bacterium. RNAcentral's name for it is "Chloroflexi bacterium partial 16S ribosomal RNA". It matches the Rfam family "Bacterial small subunit ribosomal RNA", at positions 355 to 776 of the family's 1533-position model. The record is from RNAcentral. Lineage: Bacteria; Bacillati; Chloroflexota.